AGGGGAGUCUAGAGGCGCUAAAGUGCGCCGCGUGUGGCUGCCACCGGAAUUUCCACCGGCGUGCUGGCUUCUUCUGUGGUGACCGCUGCCGCCCGCUCCUCCUCAAGGCGGCUCCGUCGCCGUCCGGCUUCCCUGUCUUCCUCACGCCACCGCCGCACCCGAUGCCGCUGCCCUUCCACGCGAUCCGCCCUCCCCCGCCCGCCGCCGCCGCCGCCAGCGGCCUAUCAAGAAGAUCGGAGCAGAGUCGGGUCGGAGACGCCGCCCCAGCGGGAGGAGCCGGCGGCGGCGGAGGGGCCGCGCGGAGCUGUUCGGAAGCGGUAUCGGACCAAAUUCACC
This 336-nucleotide long non-coding RNA is filed under the name Elaeis guineensis (African oil palm). Its description in RNAcentral is "long non-coding RNA (EGUI_LNC004326)". Lineage: Eukaryota; Viridiplantae; Streptophyta; Magnoliopsida; Arecales; Arecaceae. The record is from RNAcentral.